This is a long non-coding RNA of Cygnus olor (mute swan), 814 nucleotides long. RefSeq lists it as uncharacterized. The record is from RefSeq and is a predicted model, not a curated record. NCBI's taxonomy places the organism in Eukaryota, Metazoa, Chordata, Aves, Anseriformes, Anatidae. The transcript is spliced from 2 exons.
CUGUGUUUUUUUGGCCAUGUCAGGAUGAGGACUUGGAUGUGUAAUGCCAUGGGCUGGAAGUGGUGGUGUCAAGGAGGGAGGGGUUCAUUUGCAAGCCCAAGAGGCUUUGCAGCGUGUUCAAGUUUCCCUUCCUGGUGCACACACUGGCUUGCGUCAGAGUGUGAGUCAGCGAACGGGUGGUAUGGGCUUUCAAGGAGUUGGGGCUGGAGCAGGAGGACAAGCCGUGAGCCUACGUACACCACACGCCUCUGUUCCCUCCUGUCAGGUGGGGAAGAUGAUGUUGCUGUGCUGCAGGUGGAUAUUGUGAAGGCAAACCUCACAGAAACGACAAGGGGCUCAGAUACCGCUGUCACGGGUCUGACUGCACCUGAAUAAAAGCUGCUGAAGUACACCCAGCUCCUUGCACGGAAAGCCGAGUCCUGCUGUUCCUGAUGGAAUCUUCCUGUCACUGCCAGAAUCUUUUCAAGAGCAAUUUCUCCAAGGCCUGAAUCCGUGCCCAUUGAAAGCAAAGGGAAAGAUUCCUAUUGAUGGCAGCAGGCCCAAAUAAGCCAGAGGUCUAGGCUGUCUUUGCCAGAAAAUUUUGUUUAUGUGCAUUUUGAUGACUUCUAAAGCUUCUCUUUUGUAGUUGACUUUCUUAUGGAGCUAACUUUUCAGUGAAUUUUUUCCAGACAUUUCACAUACUGUAUAAAGUGGGGUUGACAUGUUUCUGUUCCUGAUUCAGCACAGAAGAUCAUUUUAUCAGAUUAAUUUUUUAGAGACCUGCUUUAGUCAGGGUGCACUGUGAAGUACAUGCAAUAUUAAAGCAUUCUGCUGU